GAUGAACGCUGGCGGCGUGCCUAAUACAUGCAAGUCGAGCGAACAGACGAGGAGCUUGCUCCUCUGACGUUAGCGGCGGACGGGUGAGUAACACGUGGAUAACCUACCUAUAAGACUGGGAUAACUUCGGGAAACCGGAGCUAAUACCGGAUAAUAUAUUGAACCGCAUGGUUCAAUAGUGAAGGACGGUUUUGCUGUCACUUAUAGAUGGAUCCGCGCCGCAUUAGCUAGUUGGUAAGGUAACGGCUUACCAAGGCGACGAUGCGUAGCCGACCUGAGAGGGUGAUCGGCCACACUGGAACUGAGACACGGUCCAGACUCCUACGGGAGGCAGCAGUAGGGAAUCUUCCGCAAUGGGCGAAAGCCUGACGGAGCAACGCCGCGUGAGUGAUGAAGGUCUUCGGAUCGUAAAACUCUGUUAUUAGGGAAGAACAAAUGUGUAAGUAACUAUGCACGUCUUGACGGUACCUAAUCGGAAAGCCACGGCUAACUACGUG
Molecule: ribosomal RNA, 497 nt
Filed under: uncultured bacterium
Lineage: Bacteria
Description: partial 16S ribosomal RNA
Rfam family: Bacterial small subunit ribosomal RNA
Source: RNAcentral